Molecule: ribosomal RNA, 260 nt
Filed under: uncultured bacterium
Lineage: Bacteria
Description: partial 16S ribosomal RNA
Rfam family: Bacterial small subunit ribosomal RNA
Source: RNAcentral
GACGAACGCUGGCGGCGUGCUUAACACAUGCAAGUCGAGCGGUAAGGCCCUUUCGGGGUACACGAGCGGCGAACGGGUGAGUAACACGUGGGUGACCUGCCCUCAGCUCUGGGAUAAGCCUGGGAAACCGGGUCUAUACCGGAUAUGACUCCAUGACGCAUGUUGUGGGGUGGAAAGCCGUUGUGCGGCUGAGGAUGGGCCCGCGGCCUAUCAGCUUGUUGGUGGGGUGAUGGCCUACCAAGGCGACGACGGGUAGCCGG